GGCGAUUUGGCCGAGCGGUCUAAGGCGUGCGACUCAAGCGCAAGCUUACCUGAUUCACAGGUUUCGCAUAGAGCAAUCUGCGUGGGUUCGAAUCCCACAGUCGUCA
The sequence is a transfer RNA, 106 nucleotides long. It matches the Rfam family "tRNA". From Rfam's summary of the family: Transfer RNA (tRNA) molecules are approximately 80 nucleotides in length. Their secondary structure includes four short double-helical elements and three loops (D, anti-codon, and T loops). Further hydrogen bonds mediate the characteristic L-shaped molecular structure. tRNAs have two regions of fundamental functional importance: the anti-codon, which is responsible for specific mRNA codon recognition, and the 3' end, to which the tRNAs corresponding amino acid is attached (by aminoacyl-tRNA synthetases). tRNAs cope with the degeneracy of the genetic code in two manners: having more than one tRNA (with a specific anti-codon) for a particular amino acid; and 'wobble' base-pairing, i.e. permitting non-standard base-pairing at the 3rd anti-codon position.